This 253-nucleotide ribosomal RNA is filed under the name uncultured bacterium. RNAcentral describes it as "partial 16S ribosomal RNA". It matches the Rfam family "Bacterial small subunit ribosomal RNA", at positions 524 to 776 of the family's 1533-position model. The record is from RNAcentral.
UACGUAGGGUGCAAGCGUUAAUCGGAAUUACUGGGCGUAAAGCGUGCGCAGGCGGUUGUGCAAGACCGAUGUGAAAUCCCCGGGCUUAACCUGGGAAUGGCAUUGGUGACUGCACGGCUAGAGUGUGUCAGAGGGGGGUAGAAUUCCACGUGUAGCAGUGAAAUGCGUAGAUAUUGGGAGGAACACCAGUGGCGAAGGCGGCUCACUGGACCGGUUCUGACGCUGAGGCGCGAAAGCGUGGGGAGCAAACGGG